RNAcentral lists this ribosomal RNA (804 nucleotides) under Triticum aestivum (bread wheat). RNAcentral's name for it is "partial small subunit ribosomal RNA". Lineage: Eukaryota; Viridiplantae; Streptophyta; Magnoliopsida; Poales; Poaceae. The record is from RNAcentral.
AUGCACUCCUUCGGUGAAGCUACAAGGCUUAAGCUAAACCAGACGAAGUCUUUUGUGAUCCCGAUGAACUGUGAUGAACUGCUACUGCCUGAAAUCUUGCAGGGUUUUGGGGGAUCGAUUGCAAGUUUCCCCACAACCUACCUGGGGUUGCCCCUCUCCCCCAAGAGGCUGCGAUUAGUGCACUUCCAGUUCCUAAUCGACCGCAUCAAGUUGCGUCUUGUGGGAUGGAAGGGCAAGUUAAUGUCACUGGCAGGUCGACACAUCCUGGUGCGGGCAGUGCUCUCUGCACUACCUACUUUCGCCAUGAUUGUGCUCAAGGUGCCCAAGAAGAUACUCAAGGAGAUUGACAAGGCGCGUCGUCGGUUUCUAUGGGUGCAAGACGAGGCUCUGACGGGAGGAAAGUGCAAGGUGGCGUGGAAACUGGUGUGCACCCCAACGGAGAAGGUUGGCUUAGGGCUGCCAGAGUUGCUCCGGUUCGGCACGGCCCUCAGGUUGCGCUGGCUAUGGGCGGCCUGGCAGCACCCAAUGAGGCCCUGGACGGCCUUCCCCCUGCCUUGCGAUGACGCAGACCGAAAGCAGUUCACUGCCGCCACAAAGAUCAUCGUCGGUGACGGCCAAAGGGCUGGGUUCUGGACAUGCCCCUGGCUUGACACCACGCCACUGAAUGCCACCUUCUCGAACUUGUUCAAGCACUCCAGGCGCAAAAACAGAUCGGUUGCCGCUGCUCUAGCUAACGAGCAGUGGAUCACCGAUCUCAGGCACGGCGACACGGCCUCCAUUGCGGUCGACUUCCUGGCGCUAUAG